Molecule: ribosomal RNA, 468 nt
Filed under: uncultured bacterium
Lineage: Bacteria
Description: partial 16S ribosomal RNA
Rfam family: Bacterial small subunit ribosomal RNA
Source: RNAcentral
GACGAACGCUGGCGGCGUGCUUAACACAUGCAAGUCGAACGGAAAGGCCCUGCUUUUGUGGGGUGCUCGAGUGGCGAACAGGUGUGUAACACGUGAGUAACCUGUCCCUGACUUUGGGAUAACUUCAGGAAACUGGGGCUAAUAUCGGAUAUGAGCUCCUGCUGCAUGGUGGUGUUUGGAAAGUUUCGGCGUUUGGGGAUGGACUCGCGGCUUGUCAGCUUGUUGGUGGGGUAGUGGCUUACCAAGGCUUUGACGGGUAGCCGGCCUGAGAGGGUGACCGGCCACAUUGGGACUGAGAUACGGCCCAGUAUCCUACGGGAGGCAGCAGUGGGGACUAUUGCACAAUGGGCGGAAGCCUGAUGCAGCAACGCCGCGUGCGGGAUGACGGCCUUCGGGUUGUAAACCGCUUUCGCCUGUGACGAAGCGUGAGUGACGGUAAUGGGUAAAGAAGCACCGGCUAACUACGUG